GCCGAUGUGGUGGAAUUGGUAGACACGCUGUCUUGAGGGGGCAGUGACGUAAGUCGUGCCGGUUCGAGUCCGGCCAUCGGCACCA
RNAcentral lists this transfer RNA (85 nucleotides) under Gammaproteobacteria bacterium. RNAcentral describes it as "tRNA-Leu". It matches the Rfam family "tRNA". Rfam says of the family: Transfer RNA (tRNA) molecules are approximately 80 nucleotides in length. Their secondary structure includes four short double-helical elements and three loops (D, anti-codon, and T loops). RNAcentral also lists the same sequence under 2 other names. The record is from RNAcentral. Lineage: Bacteria; Pseudomonadati; Pseudomonadota; Gammaproteobacteria.